This 253-nucleotide ribosomal RNA is filed under the name uncultured bacterium. RNAcentral's name for it is "partial 16S ribosomal RNA". It matches the Rfam family "Bacterial small subunit ribosomal RNA", at positions 524 to 776 of the family's 1533-position model. The record is from RNAcentral.
GACGAGGGGGGCAAGCGUUGUUCGGAAUUAUUGGGCGUAAAGGGUGCGUAGGCGGUUUGACAAGUCAUCUGUGAAAUCUAUGGGCUCAACCCAUAGUCUGCAGGCGAAACUGUCGGGCUUGAGUAUGGGAGAGGUGAGUGGAAUUUCCGGUGUAGCGGUGAAAUGCGUAGAUAUCGGAAGGAACACCUGUGGCGAAAGCGGCUCACUGGACCAUAACUGACGCUGAUGCACGAAAGCUAGGGGAGCAAACAGG